GGCUAUAUAGUGUAGUGGUUUAGCACUCGGGAUUUUGAUCUUCCCGCAACCCAAGUUCGACCCUUGGUAUGGCCU
This 75-nucleotide transfer RNA is filed under the name Rhizoctonia solani AG-1 IB. Its description in RNAcentral is "tRNA-Gln". It matches the Rfam family "tRNA". From Rfam's summary of the family: Transfer RNA (tRNA) molecules are approximately 80 nucleotides in length. Their secondary structure includes four short double-helical elements and three loops (D, anti-codon, and T loops). Lineage: Eukaryota; Fungi; Basidiomycota; Agaricomycetes; Cantharellales; Ceratobasidiaceae. The record is from RNAcentral.